AUAUAUAUAUAUACAAUAUAUGGUAUUGGACAUACGCGUUUGUAUACAUACAUUUUAUAUAUAUAUGUAUAUAUGUGCUCAUCCCUUUUCAUUAUAUAUUAACUUUUAUAUGAUAUGUUUUUUUUUUUUUUUUUUAAUAUCCUAGAGUUGUAAGAGCGUUGAAAAAAAAUAAUAGACAGAGUUUUAUGCAUCACAAGCGCACACACAUAUAUAUACAUCCUUAUAUUAUACAUCGUAAAUAAAAAAAGCAAAGGAUGGUUUCAUCAGAGUUUGAAAAUAGUAAAAUUAAGCUUCCUUAUGAAAACGAAAUUACGAAACAAAUCGUAAAUAAAAUUUUGGAUAAUUUAAAUGAUAAGCAACAAACGGCAUAUGUUGGAUAUAGCAUGAAUAAAAACCAAAUCGUAAAAUACUUUCAUGAAGCUGAGCAGUUAUUCAUUUAUCAUGACAUUAACAAAUCAGGUGAAAUCGACAUAAAAUUAUUUCCACAAAUGGCUAGACAACUAAAACAAGUUUAUAGUAUAAGAGAUGUUAAAGAAUUUGAAAAAGAAAUGUACAUAAAAAAAAUUGAUAAAAUGAAUUUGCCAAUUUUUUUGACAUUAUUAAAAAGAAGAAUGAAUCAACUUAUUGAUAGUGAUGAAACUUUUUUUAAACAUUUUAAUAUAUUAGAUAUGAAAAAAGAAAACAAAAUUGAUCUUAAAAAAGUAAGUGGUUUUAUUAAAACCGUGGGGGAUAAGGUAAAUUCAGAAAAUUAUGAAUUUUUUAUUAAAUACAAUUUGGAAAAUAAUAAAAUGAUACAACCAAAAGAUAUUGUAUUAAAUGAACAAAAUAAACCAACUGCACUUUUUUUUCCUGCCUACAAAAAUAUGUUAACUUUUUAUAAAUAUCUUUAGUCUAAUUAAAGAAAAAAUGAAAAAAAAAAAAAAAAAAACACAUCUAUAUAUAUAUAUACAAAUACGUACAAUACAUACAUGUUCCCUUUAAGUAGGCAAUUUUAAUCAUUAAACAUAUUUUUUUAUUUUUUUUAUUUUCCUGUACUGUAAUUAAAACUUUGUGUUAAUCGAUUUGGGUAUAACUAACAUUUGGGCAAUCAUAAAUAGUUAUUUUUAUGGUUAAGUCUGGUUUGGUACUUGUUUUGUUUUUUUAAAUACAAAAAUGCCAAUAUA
This 1163-nucleotide long non-coding RNA is filed under the name Piliocolobus tephrosceles (Ugandan red Colobus). RNAcentral describes it as "lncRNA (ENSPTEG00000010017.1)". Lineage: Eukaryota; Metazoa; Chordata; Mammalia; Primates; Cercopithecidae. The record is from RNAcentral.